Molecule: unclassified non-coding RNA, 1106 nt
Filed under: Hevea brasiliensis (rubber tree)
Lineage: Eukaryota; Viridiplantae; Streptophyta; Magnoliopsida; Malpighiales; Euphorbiaceae
Source: RNAcentral
UGCUCCAUGAAAUAUAUGGCCAUGAUGGUAUAAAGAAAGAAUAUCCUCUUUUCAAAAUUCUUCUGUUUCAUGUUCAGAAAAUGAAAGCUCUAGUUCCACAAUGAAGAGUUUUUUAUUGUCGAAGGAGGUGUGGGAGAAAGAAUGGAAUUGUAUUUUAGGGUUUAGAAAUUAUGAAAUUUAAAUUUUUACCCUAAUUAACUUUCUAGCUAUAGUUAAUCUUUUAAUCCUGUGGGAAGUACAACCAAAUAAAAAACUUGUAUAGUGAUUUAGUUGGGAACAUCAACAAUUCUGCGUCUGAAAAUCUCAACUCCCAAAUAAUCCAGAGGACCAUGAACAGCAACAUGAGGCUUCCCAACUUUUACACGGACAGCAGAUAUUUGAGGAUACUUUGUCAGGGUGGUAGAAGCAAUUUGUUGAGCCACUGACUCAAGAAGAUUAUGAGGUGGUCCCUCAACAACCUCCUUAACUAAGCUGUUGAACAAUCAAGGCAAAAAUCGUAAUAGACAAAAGGUUACAUAUUCUUAGUAGACCACCAUCCAGCAAGAAUCAAAGACUACAAGCAUUAACAUAGGAUUAAUAAUGAAUACGGUUUAAGGAGCCAUGAGAUACUAUUGAUAAAAUCUGGAUAAUCAGAAUGCUCAUUAAAAUAUUUUGUUAAUAUAGAGAAAACAUGAUGUGGAAGGUUUUGUGUAUAAAUAAAGCACCAACAUAUUGCUCACCGAUAAAUUUCAGUAUAGCUAAGAGUAUCUGACAGCUGGUCAGAUUUACCAGCUGCCCUGAGAUCCAUCCAGGCAUCUACAUCUAUCAUGAACUUCUGACCCAAUGUCCUUUCUGCUUUCAUCCCAUGGAAGCCACGGAACUUCAACCCUCCUAAUAUGAGUGUGCCUCCCCCAAUUAUCUUAUCGUUUUCCAUCAUUCCCUUGGGGCAAAACCCUGCAGCGAUUCCCCACCAGAUGUUCGUACACUGCUUGUGUUGCCGCUUCUAACCGCCAGGCUAGCCCGCACUAGGCACGAGCUACCAGCGGUUUCACCAUCUCCGGCGAAUGAUGAUGGCUGCGGAGGAAAAAGCACUUUGCGUUUGUGGUGUGGGAUUUCCAAUCAUUUUA